This 252-nucleotide ribosomal RNA is filed under the name uncultured bacterium. RNAcentral describes it as "partial 16S ribosomal RNA". It matches the Rfam family "Bacterial small subunit ribosomal RNA", at positions 525 to 776 of the family's 1533-position model. The record is from RNAcentral.
ACGGAGGGUGCGAGCGUUAAUCGGAAUUACUGGGCGUAAAGCGUGCGUAGGCGGUUUGUUAAGCAAGAUGUGAAAGCCCCGGGCUCAACCUGGGAACUGCAUUUUGAACUGGCAGGCUAGAGUAUUGUAGAGGGUGGUGGAAUUUCCAGUGUAGCGGUGAAAUGCGUAGAGAUUGGAAGGAACAUCAGUGGCGAAGGCGGCCACCUGGACAAAUACUGACGCUGAGGCACGAAAGCGUGGGGAGCAAACAGG